RNAcentral lists this small nuclear RNA (168 nucleotides) under Tupaia belangeri chinensis (Chinese tree shrew). RNAcentral's name for it is "Tupaia chinensis (Chinese tree shrew) U2 spliceosomal RNA". It matches the Rfam family "U2 spliceosomal RNA". Rfam says of the family: U2 is a small nuclear RNA (snRNA) component of the spliceosome (involved in pre-mRNA splicing). Complementary binding between U2 snRNA (in an area lying towards the 5' end but 3' to hairpin I) and the branchpoint sequence (BPS) of the intron results the bulging out of an unpaired adenosine, on the BPS, which initiates a nucleophilic attack at the intronic 5' splice site, thus starting the first of two transesterification reactions that mediate splicing. Lineage: Eukaryota; Metazoa; Chordata; Mammalia; Scandentia; Tupaiidae. The record is from Rfam by way of RNAcentral.
AUCGCUUCUCGGCCUUUUGGCUAAGAUCAAGUGUAAAAAGCUGGGAAAAAAUAGUUUGUGUUUGAAAUAAUUGGGUUAUGGAUAUUUUAUUACAUUUACAAUCGACUAUGCUUUCAUGUUAAUUAUUGUGCAUACUUUGAGAUGCUCUUCUUCAAAAGCAGAAAUAUU